Molecule: ribosomal RNA, 631 nt
Filed under: uncultured Cortinarius
Lineage: Eukaryota; Fungi; Basidiomycota; Agaricomycetes; Agaricales; Cortinariaceae
Description: eukaryotic LSU rRNA
Rfam family: 5.8S ribosomal RNA (bases 133-286)
Source: RNAcentral
CUUGGGAGCAUGUGCACGCCUUGUCAUCUUUAUAUCUCCACCUGUGCACCCUUUGUAGACCUUCCCAGGUCUAUGUUGCUUCAUUUACCCCAAUGUAUGUUAAUAGAAUGUUGUGACUAUAAAAAUCUAUACAACUUUCAGCAACGGAUCUCUUGGCUCUCGCAUCGAUGAAGAACGCAGCGAAAUGCGAUAAGUAAUGUGAAUUGCAGAAUUCAGUGAAUCAUCGAAUCUUUGAACGCACCUUGCGCUCCUUGGUAUUCCGAGGAGCAUGCCUGUUUGAGUGUCAUUAAUAUAUAUCAACCUCUCUUUUUUGAGUGGCUUGGAUGUGGGGGGGUUUUGCUGGCCUGUUCAGCUCCUCUGAAAUACAUUAGCAGAACAAACCUGUUCAUUGGUGUGAUAACUAUCUACGCUAUUGAAUGUGAGGGGCAGUUCAGCUUUCCAACAGUCCUUGGACAACUUAUCAUUUAUGUGACCUCAAAUCAGGUAGGACUACCCGCUGAACUUAAGCAUAUCAAUAAGCGGAGGAAAAGAAACUAACAAGGAUUCCCCUAGUAACUGCGAGUGAAGCGGGAAAAGCUCAAAUUUAAAAUCUGGCGGUCUUUUGGCUGUCCGAGUUGUAAUCUAGAGAAGU